AACGAACGCUGGCGGCAGGCCUAACACAUGCAAGUCGAGCGAGGACUUCGGUCCUAGCGGCGGACGGGUGAGUAACGCGUGGGAACGUGCCCUUUGCUUCGGAAUAGCCCUGGGAAACUGGGAGUAAUACCGGAUGAGCCCUUUGGGGGAAAGAUUUAUCGGCGAAGGAUCGGCCCGCGUUGGAUUAGGUAGUUGGUGGGGUAAUGGCCUCCCAAGCCGACGAUCCAUAGCUGGUUUGAGAGGAUGAUCAGCCACACUGGGACGGAGAAACGGCCCAGACUCCUCCGGACGGCGGAGGGGGGGAAUCUUAAAAAUGGGGGGAAACCCUAACCUGCCCAUGCCGCGGAGGCGUUGAAGGCCUUAGGGUUGUAAAGCUCUUUCGCCUGGGAAGAUAUUGCCGGACCCAGAAAAAGAAGCCCCGCCUACCUCCUU
Molecule: ribosomal RNA, 432 nt
Filed under: uncultured bacterium
Lineage: Bacteria
Description: partial 16S ribosomal RNA
Rfam family: Bacterial small subunit ribosomal RNA
Source: RNAcentral